Molecule: ribosomal RNA, 220 nt
Filed under: uncultured bacterium
Lineage: Bacteria
Description: partial 16S ribosomal RNA
Rfam family: Bacterial small subunit ribosomal RNA
Source: RNAcentral
UAAUGUCUGGGAAACUGCCUGAUGGAGGGGGGUAACUGCUGGAAACGGUAGCUAAUACCGCAUAACGUCGCAAGACCAAAGUGGGGGACCUUCGGGCCUCAUGCCAUCAGAUGUGCCCAGAUGGGAUUAGCUAGUAGGUGGGGUAACGGCUCACCUAGGCGACGAUCCCUAGCUGGUCUGAGAGGAUGGCCAGCCACACUGGAACUGAGACACGGUCCAG